GGUGCGUGAAUUUUUGCGACAAUCGGAGCGCAAGCCUGAUCCAGCCAUGCCGCGUGAGUGAAGAAGGCCUUCGGGUUGUAAAGCUCUUUCGGCCGGGAAGAAUCGAGGGCUCUAACAUAGGACAUGCCUGACGGUUCCGUGCCAAGAAGCCCCGGCUUACUACGUGCCAGCAGCCGCGGUAAUUA
Molecule: ribosomal RNA, 185 nt
Filed under: uncultured bacterium
Lineage: Bacteria
Description: partial 16S ribosomal DNA
Rfam family: Bacterial small subunit ribosomal RNA
Source: RNAcentral